AUGAACGCUAGCUACAGGCUUAACACAUGCAAGUCGAGGGGCAGCAUGGUCUUAGCUUGCUAAGGCCGAUGGCGACCGGCGCACGGGUGAGUAACACGUAUCCAACCUGCCGUCUACUCUUGGACAGCCUUCUGAAAGGAAGAUUAAUACAAGAUGGCAUCAUGAGUCCGCAUGUUCACAUGAUUAAAGGUAUUCCGGUAGACGAUGGGGAUGCGUUCCAUUAGAUAGUAGGCGGGGUAACGGCCCACCUAGUCUUCGAUGGAUAGGGGUUCUGAGAGGAAGGUCCCCCACAUUGGAACUGAGACACGGUCCAAACUCCUACGGGAGGCAGCAGUGAGGAAUAUUGGUCAAUGGGCGAGAGCCUGAACCAGCCAAGUAGCGUGAAGGAUGACUGCCCUAUGGGUUGUAAACUUCUUUUAUAAAGGAAUAAAGUCGGGUAUGCAUACCCGUUUGCAUGUACUUUAUGAAUAAGGAUCGGCUAACUCCGUGCCAGCAGCCGCGGUAAUACGGAGGAUCCGAGCGUUAUCCGGAUUUAUUGGGUUUAAAGGGAGCGUAGAUGGAUGUUUAAGUCAGUUGUGAAAGUUUGCGGCUCAACCGUAAAAUUGCAGUUGAUACUGGAUAUCUUGAGUGCAGUUGAGGCAGGCGGAAUUCGUGGUGUAGCGGUGAAAUGCUUAGAUAUCACGAAGAACUCCGAUUGCGAAGGCAGCCUGCUAAGCUGCAACUGACAUUGAGGCUCGAAAGUGUGGGUAUCAAACAGGAUUAGAUACCCUGGUAGUCCACACGGUAAACGAUGAAUACUCGCUGUUUGCGAUAUACAGCAAGCGGCCAAACGAAAGCGUUAAGUAUUCCACCUGGGGAGUACGCCGGCAACGGUGAAACUCAAAGGAAUUGACGGGGGCCCGCACAAGCGGAGGAACAUGUGGUUUAAUUCGAUGAUACGCGAGGAACCUUACCCGGGCUUAAAUUGCAGAUGAAUUACGGUGAAAGCCGUAAGCCGCAAGGCAUCUGUGAAGGUGCUGCAUGGUUGUCGUCAGCUCGUGCCGUGAGGUGUCGGCUUAAGUGCCAUAACGAGCGCAACCCUUGUUGUCAGUUACUAACAGGUUCCGCUGAGGACUCUGACAAGACUGCCAUCGUAAGAUGUGAGGAAGGUGGGGAUGACGUCAAAUCAGCACGGCCCUUACGUCCGGGGCUACACACGUGUUACAAUGGGGGGUACAGAGGGCCGCUACCACGCGAGUGGAUGCCAAUCCCAAAAACCUCUCUCAGUUCGGACUGGAGUCUGCAACCCGACUCCACGAAGCUGGAUUCGCUAGUAAUCGCGCAUCAGCCACGGCGCGGUGAAUACGUUCCCGGGCCUUGUACACACCGCCCGUCAAGCCAUGGGAGCCGGGGGUACCUGAAGUGCGUAACCGCGAGGAGCGCCCUAGGGUAAAACUGGUGACUGGGG
Molecule: ribosomal RNA, 1447 nt
Filed under: uncultured organism
Description: SSU rRNA
Rfam family: Bacterial small subunit ribosomal RNA
Source: RNAcentral